This 595-nucleotide ribosomal RNA is filed under the name Trichopsomyia flavitarsis. RNAcentral's name for it is "eukaryotic LSU rRNA". The record is from RNAcentral. Lineage: Eukaryota; Metazoa; Arthropoda; Insecta; Diptera; Syrphidae.
AGUACGUGAAACUGCUUAGAGGUUAAACCCGAUGAACCUGAAUAUCCGUUAUGGAAAAUUUCAUCAUUAAUAUUAUUAUAUAAAAAAUAUAAUAAAAAUAGUGUGCAAUUUUUCCAUAUAAGGACAUUGUAAUCUGUUAAUGUAUUAAAUAUUUAUCAAAAAAUCUUUAACAUAAGUUUAUUCAAAUUAGUUAUUUUCGAAUUUCUAACAUAGAAUAAUUGUUUUAGAUUUGAUAAAUCAUUGACAGAUUGUAUUACAUAUAAUGCUCAAAUUCUAAAAUAAUAAAAUAAAAAUUAAAUUAAGAAUUUUAUAAUUAUAGUAUAAAUUUAUUUAUACUAUUAAUUAUAUGCAUUUAUAUGAUUAACAAUGCAAUAGAUUCAGGAUACCUUCGGGACCCGUCUUGAAACACGGACCAAGGAGUCUAACAUAUGUGCAAGUCAUUGGGUAUUUUUAAUAAAACCCAAAGGCAUAAUUAACUUAACUGUUUUUUAAUGGGAUUAGUUUAAAUUUUAUUAUGAAAUAUAAAUUCAAUCCCGGGGCGUUCUAUAUAGUUAUGCAUAAUAGUAUAUAUAUUAUUUAUGCCUCUAACUAGAGC